Mesocricetus auratus (golden hamster) is the source of this 1096-nucleotide long non-coding RNA. RefSeq lists it as uncharacterized. The transcript has 2 exons. NCBI's taxonomy places the organism in Eukaryota, Metazoa, Chordata, Mammalia, Rodentia, Cricetidae. The record is from RefSeq and is a predicted model, not a curated record.
GCUGGAAAAUUCGAAAGGCACUAGACUCGUGUAUGUUCUAUUGGGAUGAAAACAGAAAAACUGCCUUUCAGCUUUGUCUCCUUCGGAUCUGCCACCAACCUUGCAUUUUCGUGGGGUUUUUUUUUUGCGUGUCUUUUUGGCACGUGACAAUCAGGUCCGUAUAUACUAGUGACAGCUAACAGUGCUUGGCCUCUGCUACCCAGACCCGGUGACGUCCCAAGGUCCCGGCCCUGUUGCCCAACAGUGAUCAAAACCGCAGCUUCCCAUUUGCACGGUUACUGGUUUGUUUCAGACUCUAGCUUGGAUGAACUAACUGUGCGGCGGCACGGUCUGAUCCGGGUUCUGGCCGGUCCCCGGUGCCCACACAGCGUCAGCGACACAACUUGCUCACCAGCACCAGAGAAUCUCAGCCCCGUGGGUGCCGUUCCCCAUGGGAUUUCUAAAGGUUGAAGGCACCUUCCUCCUCCUGGGACCUCAGGCGUCUGGGGCGCUAGGCUUCUCGGAGGCCGCAGACGCACCGGCGCGGGGACCGGAGCCCUUGCUGUGUGACGAUGGCCGGCGCGGGUUCUCCCCGUGCUGAGGAUCUGAAAUGAGAGUCCGGGGGUCAAGCCCAGAAGACGUGAUCACCAUGAUUCAGCGGGUCCCUCGGAGACCUCGCAUUUGCCUGAGAUUCUGUAAAGAGAGGUCCGAGGAAGGAGACAGGACCGCCCACACCUGCCUCAGGGUACCCAGGGCUUGGGAUGUAAUCUGGGUGAGUCAACAGAGACCCUGGUUAUUAUUCCCGAUGUGUCCAGACUCCCACGUCGGUUUGCAAUGGCCUUUCCUGAAAUGCACGUCGUGCCGACAGUGUAACCAAACCUAGAUAAACAUCUGCCGAGCACCUGACGUGUGUCAGAUGCUUCCGGGUGCCUUGAGCGAGCCUGGACGCCCUCACUCAAGUCUGCUUCAUGGGAGGAAGGCGAGACAUUCGAUGGAUAAGCUCGAGGACGGAAGGGAUGCUUGAGAGUCUGAAGCAGAAGAAAAGACACACACUGUCCCCUUGGGCGCACCCAUGCAGCUGACGUUUCCGUUUGUGUUAAAUAAACUUAUUCAUUCA